This 3497-nucleotide long non-coding RNA is filed under the name Podarcis lilfordi (Lilford's wall lizard). Lineage: Eukaryota; Metazoa; Chordata; Lepidosauria; Squamata; Lacertidae. The record is from RNAcentral.
GGGGGCAAGCUGCAAAAGCCCACGCCGGUGGAAAACAAGGUUUUGCUUGCUGCAAAGGCUGCUCCAAAAGCCAAGGCCAGGUUUGUUGUUGAUUCAGGCUGUACCCGCCAUAUCUCAAAGGACCGCCACCUAUUUAUCUCCUUCAAGCCUCAAGAUGGUGAGAUCCACCUGGCUGAUGGAAAGACGUUGCGAAUCGCAGGAGAAGGGACUGUGAAACUGGCAAGUCUGCACACUACCAUCAAAGAUGUACUGUAUGUUCCAGGCGCUGCAGACAAUUUGCUCAGUGUCCCACAGCUGACUGGGCGUGGUUUUGAGAUUUCCUUCAAGAGGAGCGUCUGUGUCAUCAGAAAAGGCAAAGAGGACAUUUUGCAUGCAAAGUUUAUGGAUGGCUUGUUCUGUAUAACUUAUGAUGACAUUGGUGCUGUUGUGUCUAAUGCUGAUUCUUGUUGUGUUGCACAAACUAACAAAGUUCUUCAUGCAGGAUGCAUUCAUGAUGCACACAGAAGAUUUUGUCACAUGUCUUGGCAGGCGCUGGCCAAGAUGCCAGAGAUGGUUGAGGGUUUGAACAUCAAACCCUGUAAGUUUCACAUGAAAUGUGUAUCUUGUGCAGAGAACAAGGUGAAGGUUGCUCCAAAAGGCAAGGAGUCUAGCAGGCAGGCUUCCAAACCCUACCAGCUAGUGCACGCAGACCUGGUUGGUCCACUUGCGCCCUCUUUGGGUGGAGCAAGGUACUUCAUGGUUCUAAUUGAUUCUUUUUCCAGGUACAUUCAUGUGUUUAUGCUCGAGCAGAAAUCGCAAGCGUUUCCUAAGUUCAAGGCAUUCUGUGCUUGGUUGGAGAAUGUUCACGGUAAACGCAUUGGCUGUCUGUUUACUGAUCGAGGCGGGGAGUUCACUUCUCAGCAGUUUGAAGCUUUCCUGACUGAGAAGGGAAUCCAGCAUGACUUGUCAACGCCUAGAUCGCCAUGGAUGAAUGGGCUUGCGGAGCGAGCAAAUCAAACGUUGCUGCAAGGAAUGAAAACAUUGUUGCAUGAUGCCAAUCUCCCUGAUAAGUAUUGGGGGGAGGCUCUGUCGAAUUUUGCUUACACUUAUAAUCGCAGAUUGUCAUCACCUAUUGGUUGUACCCCUAUGAGAAGAUGUUUGGUAAGAAACCCAACAUCAAGCACAUGAGAAUCUUUGGUUCUGACAUGUGGGUACACACCCCACAGAGCAACAAGCUUGGGAAGCGUGGGGCACAUGGUUUGUUCAUGGGGUACGAAAAGGUGCAUACAGGGUAUGGAUGACCAACUCUAAGUCCAUUAAGUUCACAAAGAGUGUUGAGUACAAUCCUAAGUGGGGGGAAAAUGUGGGAAUUUUCCAGAGUUACCCAGAGGAGGAUGAAGGUGAUGUCAAAGAAGCAGCUAAAGCUGAGGAAGCUGCUGAGGAUGAUGAUGACGAUGAUGAUCAGAGUUCGGAUUCCAGUUCAGUGGGCGGCGCUGCUGCUGGUGUCAGUGACAGUGAUGACACAGCAGACUACAAGAGCGCAAAGGCCUCAGUCAGACCAUCUGAUGCGUCUGACAAUGAACUGGAAGAACCACUGUUCACCAUUGGUCACUUUUCUCCUAAGAAAGAGGAGAUGAGUCCAGAAGACUUGCGUCUAGUACGCAGAUCUGAAAGAGCCACAAAGGGCAGACCUCCAAAGAGAUUUGCUGAUGAGUUUGCUAAGACAGCAACUGCUGUUCUUAGUAGCUCAGAGAAGGUGUGGGAACCUUCAAGCUUCAAAGAGGUUCAGGAGUUAACCUCUAAAGAUGCUGAGCCUUGGCUUAAUGCCAUGAAGGCUGAAGUUGAUUCCUUGAAUAGGAACCAAACUUGGGAACUGGUACCGGUAGUCCCAGGAAUGAGACUGGUUGGCAGCAAAUGGGUCUUCAAGGCCAAGACAGACCAGAAUGGCAAGGUUGUCAGACACAAAGCCAGAUUGGUUGCCAGAGGUUUUUCACAGGUACCAGGACAGGAUUACCACGAGACCUACUCACCCACCGUCAAAUAUGAGAGCAUUCGGCUGAUGCUCAAGAUAGCUGCAGAGGAGAAACUGCAUGUUUCCCAUCAUGACAUUAAUACAGCUUUUUGUACGGGAUUUUGGAGGAGGAGCUGUUUAUGCUUCCACCUGAUGGGAUGCAGAUACAGAAGGGAAUGGUCUGUAAACUGCGGAAAUCCUUAUAUGGUCUCAAGCAGAGUGCCAGGUGUUGGAACACAAAACUCACUGAGACGUUGCUUUCUCUAGGUUUUCACCAGGGCAAAGCUGAUCCAUGUGUGUUUGUCAAGGAGGAGGGGCAAAACAAACUGUAUUGUUUAUGUUUUGUUGAUGAUCUUCUGAUGUUUUGGAAGAAUCAGGCUUUGUACCAAAGCACCCUAGCUCAGCUGAAGGAGCACUUUGACAUGAAGGAUCUUGGUGAGGUAUCCAACUAUCUUUCUCUGCAGGUGGAGAGGGACCAAGCAGGUAAUUUUCUGGUACACCAAACACAGAAAAUUGCUGAUGUAUUAACCAGGUUGAAUUUGGUUGAUGCAAACCCAGCAGACACACCGAUGGUGACAGGUUACCAGGUAGACAGUACUGCUGAAGCGUUUUCUGACACAACGCUGUACAGAUGCAUUCUAGGCAAGUUGAAUUUCAUUGCUAGAUGCUCAAGACCUGACAUAGCUGUAAGCUGUAACCUGCUUAGCAGACAUGCCAACAAUCCUACUGUUCAGGAUUGGAAAGCUCUGAAGCGCAUAGCCCGCUAUUUGAAAGGGACUUUGCACUACAGGCUGAGGUUCACCAGUCAGAAGACUGGAGGUCUUGAAAUCUUUGCAGAUGCAAGUUUUGGAAGUGACACCACGGAUGGUACAAGCACUUCUGGAGUAUGCUACAUGUACAACCACUGUCUGUUUGACUGGUUGUGCAAAAGCAGACGACAGUGAGCCUAAGUUCCUGUGAAGCAGAACUCAAUGCUCUGUCAUUUUCACUCAUGGAUUGUGAAUGGUUGAUGCAACUGUUUAAGGACAUCAGAGUUUCUGUGAAAUGUCCUGUACAAGUGUAUCAAGACAAUAGAUCGUGUUUGGCUUUGCUGAACUCGGAGAGUUGCAAGCAAAGGACCAAGUACUUGCAGAUUAAGCUACAUCGUGCAAGGGAGUGUAUUCAGAAAGGACUCAUUCAGGUGUCCUACAUGCCAGGAAAUGAAAUUCCUGCUGAUCUGUUGUCUAAGGUUGUUAACAGAGAACAACUUAAGGUUUAUGUACAAAGGUUGCAAUUGGGUUGAACCACAGGUACUACAGGUUACACGGAAAGGGGGAGGAUGUUAGGAUAUUUCCGUUCCACCUUAAAAGGGAGCAGGCUUUGUGAGUCAGAGUCUGCGUAUUUCCUGUUCACAGGAUGUUUAUGUUUUCUGUUGCUUUCGUUUUCUCUCUGUGUCGCAGACACUAAAGCAGUCAGUCAUGUUUUUCUGUGUUCUGAUCAACGCUGAAUAAACUUGUAAAUAAUGCUC